This 253-nucleotide ribosomal RNA is filed under the name uncultured bacterium. Its description in RNAcentral is "partial 16S ribosomal RNA". It matches the Rfam family "Bacterial small subunit ribosomal RNA", at positions 524 to 776 of the family's 1533-position model. The record is from RNAcentral.
UACAGAGGGUGCGAGCGUUGUUCGGAAUUAUUGGGCGUAAAGGGCGCGUAGGCGGCGCCACAAGUCACUUGUGAAAACUCUGGGCUCAACCCAGAGCCUGCAGGCGAAACUGUGGUGCUGGAGUAUGGGAGAGGUGCGUGGAAUUCCCGGUGUAGAGGUGAAAUUCGUAGAUAUUCGGAAGAACACCAGUGGCGAAGGCGGCUCACUGGCCCGGUACUGACGCUGAGAUACGAAAGCGUGGGGAGCAAACAGG